AGGGCGCUAGUUUAAUUUCUAAAACUUUGUCUUGUCAAGACAAAGCUGUGGGUUAGAGCCCCGCGCACCCUG
RNAcentral lists this transfer RNA (72 nucleotides) under Eviota ocellifer (ocellated dwarfgoby). Its description in RNAcentral is "tRNA-Asp". It matches the Rfam family "tRNA". From Rfam's summary of the family: Transfer RNA (tRNA) molecules are approximately 80 nucleotides in length. Lineage: Eukaryota; Metazoa; Chordata; Actinopteri; Gobiiformes; Gobiidae. The record is from RNAcentral.